Nycticebus coucang (slow loris) is the source of this 109-nucleotide small nucleolar RNA. RefSeq annotates it as small nucleolar RNA U13. The transcript has a single exon. NCBI's taxonomy places the organism in Eukaryota, Metazoa, Chordata, Mammalia, Primates, Lorisidae. The record is from RefSeq and is a predicted model, not a curated record.
AUCCUUUUGCAGUUCAUGAGCAUGAUGAUUGGAUUUUCAUGCACUGCAUGAGAUGUGCCUCCUACAAAUCCAAAUCUUCUUAGGAAGGUUGACCAGUUCUCCAUUUAUA